RNAcentral lists this ribosomal RNA (363 nucleotides) under Triticum aestivum (bread wheat). RNAcentral's name for it is "partial small subunit ribosomal RNA". The record is from RNAcentral. Lineage: Eukaryota; Viridiplantae; Streptophyta; Magnoliopsida; Poales; Poaceae.
AUGCGGAUGAGACUGUUUUGGGACUGUCUGUUUGCUUAUGUUUGUUGGGCAUCCCUUGGCCUACACAAGUUUAGGGGUAUCUCAGUCUUGGAUGAGAUUCUCUUGAACACUAAUGCUCUUCCCAGGAAUUUUGGUCUAAUAAUAAUCAUUAUGGGAUGCUGGCAUAUUUGGAUGCAAAGGAGUGGAAGGAUUUUUCAGCAGAUCCAACCCCCAGUGGAGUCUUGGAGACUUCUACUGAAAAAAGACCUCAAUCUGCUCACUCACAAGAUCAAGGCUAGAACAAGCAGCAUCCUUAUAAGUGGGCAUGAGUUUAAGACAGUCUCGCCACCGAAAGGAGCAGUAGGCCAAUGGUGUACCAGGUAA